CUGUCUGCAAGUAUCCUUGAAAGCCA
Molecule: non-coding RNA, 26 nt
Filed under: Cricetulus griseus (Chinese hamster)
Lineage: Eukaryota; Metazoa; Chordata; Mammalia; Rodentia; Cricetidae
Source: RNAcentral